RNAcentral lists this ribosomal RNA (791 nucleotides) under uncultured Methanocellales archaeon. RNAcentral's name for it is "bacterial SSU rRNA". It matches the Rfam family "Archaeal small subunit ribosomal RNA", at positions 85 to 879 of the family's 1478-position model. Lineage: Archaea; Methanobacteriati; Methanobacteriota; Methanomicrobia; Methanocellales. The record is from RNAcentral.
ACKGCUCAGUAACACGUGGAUAACCGGCCCAAGGGUCUGGGAUAACCCCGGGAAACUGGGGAUAAUACCGGAUGGGCCACCUUUGUUGGAAUGCUUGGUGGUUUAAAGGCAACGCCCUUGGAUGGGUCUGCGGCGGAUUAGGUUGACGCCGGUGUAAUGUACCGGCGUGCCUGUAAUCCGUACGGGUUGUGGGAGCAAGAGCCCGGAGAUGGAUUCUGAGACACGAAUCCAGGCCCUACGGAGCGCAGCAGGCGCGAAAACUCUACAAUGCAGGAGACUGCGAUAGGGGGACAUCGAGUGGCAUCCACCUUGGGUGCCUGUCCAACCGUCUAAAAAACGGUUGUUAGCAAGGGCCGGGUAAGACCGGUGCCAGCCGCCGCGGUAAUACCGGCGGCUCGAGUGGUGGCCGAUAUUAUUGAGUCUAAAGGGUCCGUAGCCGGCUUCGCAAGUCCCCUGGGAAAUCCAGCGGCUUAACCGUUGGGCUUUCAUGGGAUACUACAUUGCUUGGGACUGGGAGAGGUAGGAGGUACUCGGGGGGUAGGGGUGAAAUCCUGUAAUCCUUGAAGGACCACCAGUGGCGAAGGCGUCUCACCAGAACGGAUCUGACGGCAAGGGACGAAAGCUAGGGGCACGAACCGGAUUAGAUACCCGGGUAGUCCUAGCCGUAAACGAUACUCGCUAGGUGUCGGCCACGGUGCGACCGUGGUCGGUGCCGUAGGGAAGCCGUGAAGCGAGCCACCUGGGAAGUACGGCCGCAAGGCUGAAACUUAAAGGAAUUGGCGGGGGAGCAC